This 22-nucleotide non-coding RNA is filed under the name Rattus norvegicus (Norway rat). Lineage: Eukaryota; Metazoa; Chordata; Mammalia; Rodentia; Muridae. The record is from RNAcentral.
UAGGAUUGGGUGAAACCUCCUU